This 151-nucleotide non-coding RNA is filed under the name Nitrincola sp. A-D6. Lineage: Bacteria; Pseudomonadati; Pseudomonadota; Gammaproteobacteria; Oceanospirillales; Oceanospirillaceae. RNAcentral also lists the same sequence under 1 other name. The record is from RNAcentral.
AUGCGCCACUUAAUUUCAGGUGGCUGCAUGAACAGGAGAUUUUAACAGCCUUAAAUUGGGAAGAUUGGUGCGUUAGGAACAAGGCCAACACUGCCCCUGCAACGGUAAACCGAGAGGUGAGUCCGAUACCAGCCUGAUUUAAUCUCUCUUC